GCCUGCAAGGACAGAAGGGGUUAAGUGUUUCUGGCGGCCUCGUGCUGUGUCUGCGGCAGUUCCCUCUUCCGGGGCUGCAGCAGCCGAGGUUGGUGAGGAAUGUUUGCAAUGCAGAGCUAGGAAGGAGGGCGGGCUGGUGGAAGUGGAGGCCUGUGGAGGCCGGCCGGCCCGGCUCCCCAGUUGAGCAAUCUCCGGGCCCCAGCCGGUUCCUGUAACUCCGGCCCCUCCCGCCUUUUCCCGCCUCGCCGGCUUCCUCCACCCGCCUGCCCGGCAGUGGGGGAGGCCAGUCCUCGGAGCAGGCAGAAGGAGGCGGGAGGGCCAGAGGCCCCAUAGAGCUUGGAGGCCAGGGGCAAAAGGGAAGGGCUUCCAAGGAGACACAGAGGAGUACAAUCAGCUCAGCCCUCUGGGCCCAGAAAGGGCAGGGCCUUUGCCCAAGGUCACACAGGGAGGCCCCACUGGACAGGAUCACACCCUGGAUUCAGCCUUUUUUGUUCCCAUGGCACCGGACUGCAGCUCACAGAGCGUGGAGGUCACCGUCCCGCUCAGCUGGGAUGGUUUCUCCACUGAAGGCGAAGACCCCUUCCCAGCCCGCCCCCCAGCCCUGCCUUGGCUCUCAACUCAAGUCCUAGGGGACCAGAGAAGAAGGUGGCUCUUACUGGGCUGGGCACUCCCCCGACCCCCAUCACCUCGCUAGCAUUGCCCACUGCUUAGCCUGUCCUGGGGACCCUGGUCACCUCCAUUCCUCACCUCCAGGAGUGUGGAGUGAAUGGAUGGAGGGAAGGCAGACUUGAGCUGGUUCUCGAAAGCCCCCUUUCCUUCCUUAUUCCCAUCCCCUUCAAGGAAGGACCUUCCAGGCCCAGAAAGGAAUUUCUCCUCCAGCAUACACGUUCUCUGGGAGACGCAGCACUCCCCGGCACCCCAGAACGAGCUCUGUCCACUGACACUGUUUACAAAGGACAUCUGGGGAGGCGGCCUCUACGGUCUCCUUCAGACCAGAUUUGAAUCCUAGCUCCACCUCCUCCCAACCUCGAGGCCUCUUACAGAGCCUCAGUUUUCUUCUGUGUAAAGUGGAAUUAAAGGACAGGGUCAGUGAAACGGGCAGCAGCAGGCUGUUUCCUCUAAGGCUCUGGGCCACUUGCCUUUCCUGGUCCCACAGACAUUCAGUCCAUUUGGGACCUGCUCAGGGUGUCCCCCCCCCACCCCACCCGCCAGCCGGGCCCCGGACUUUGCUCAAGCUGCCAGAGGAUGGUUAAUGGGCUCAGCAGCCCUGGGUGCCGCCUGGGCCACAUCUGGUGGAAAGAGCCGCAGAGGUGCUGGGACCCCAUAUGUCUGGAGGGCGGGGCAGGUGUUCCGUGUGAGCUAGACAUUCCUAUGAGACUCAGACACCCCGUUUACAGGUAAGGAGGCUCAAGGGAGGAGUGACUCGCCAGGCCAUGCAGACCUGGAGAAGGACUGUCACCUGGAACACCACACCAGGAACACCAAGGACCCUCCUGCGCUCUGUUCGGCCAUUGCUUAAGGUUUCCUUCCUUCAUGCCAGCCCAUGGCUGACCUAAUUUAUCCCAACAACAUGCCUAAGAAGGAGGUAGACAGAGCCUCAUUUUUUCCCCAGGAAACAGAGAGGUUGAUCCACUUGUCCAGGGUCACACAGCUUGGAAGAAGUAGAGCCUAACUUCGAAUUCAGGCCCCCUGCCUCCAGAGCCUGUGCUCGUGGCUGGUCUUCACACCUGGCUUGGGAUCCGGGCUCUGCAUAGAGGGCUGGGCCACCUAGGCUGAGUCACUUAAGCCCCAGAGUCACAGAGUGAGGGAAGAAUCUGCAGCACCCACUGGGGGCGGGGAGUCGCUGUGCUGAAGAUCACUGCCAGCGGGGGAGGGGAGAUCAGAGGGGCCAAGCCUCUUGCUCUAGGGCACACAGCCAGCCCAGCCAGGCCCCAUGCCCAGGCUGAUGGUGACUCCGCGUCCUCCCCUGCUCCCUGUCCUCGGCCCACGGAGGCCACGGCCGUCCAGGACCCCCGCAGCCGGCUGGGCUCCAGCGGACAGAUGGACAGAUGACGGCCGCCCCCUCCCACGGCCUGCAGGCUGCGUGGCUUCGCCACCUCCUCCCGAGCAGGUUUCCUUUAAGAAACCAGAAGAUUGAUUUCCUGGCAGGCUCUGCGCCGAGGAGCCCGUCCAAAUGGAUUUCAGGUGAUGUGGCAGCAGGGGGGCGGCCCUGGAGGAUCACGGGAACUCGGAAUGGUCCGCAGAGGAGGCUGCAGCCUCAGGAGAGGCCAUUCCAGAGCCGAGGGCGGACAGACUGACAGUUUUACAUUUGGAUCAUAAGAGAAAUGAAAAGCAAAAGCCCACGAGGUACUACUUCAGAGAAACUCACCAGGGUUGGUGAGGACGUGGAGAAACUGGAACCUCGCAGUGAGAAGCUGGGGACGGAACCGUGGAGGACUGCGUGGCGUUUCUUCGUGAAAUUAAAAAUAGAAUUCGCAUAUGAUCCAGCAAUCCCACUUCUGGGCAUAGACCCAAAAGAAUGGAAAGCAGGGGCUCAAGCACAUAUAUGCCCACCCGUGUUCACAGCAGCGUCACGCACCAGAGCCCAAAGGUAAAAAUGAGGUUGGGAUGUCAGGGUCCUGGGAUCGAGUUAUGCAUCUGGCUCUGAACUCAGCAUGGAGUCUGCUUAAGAUCUCUCCCUCCCUCUCCGUCUGUCUCUCCUGCUUGUGCUGUCACUCUCUCUCUCUCUCAAAUAAAUAGAGAAAAUCUUUCAAAAGAAUCCCUGUGCUA
Molecule: long non-coding RNA, 2769 nt
Organism: Mustela lutreola (European mink)
Lineage: Eukaryota; Metazoa; Chordata; Mammalia; Carnivora; Mustelidae
Exons: 4
Source: RefSeq, a predicted model, not a curated record